RNAcentral lists this ribosomal RNA (684 nucleotides) under uncultured bacterium. RNAcentral describes it as "bacterial SSU rRNA". It matches the Rfam family "Bacterial small subunit ribosomal RNA", at positions 9 to 686 of the family's 1533-position model. The record is from RNAcentral.
GAGUUUGAUCCUGGCUCAGAACGAACGCUGGCGGCGCGCUUAACACAUGCAAGUCGAACGAGAAGCUGUAGCAAUACAGUUGUAAAGUGGCAAACGGGUGAGUAAUGCGUGGGUAAUCUACCCUAGGGUGGGGAAUAACUCCUCGAAAGGGGAGCUAAUGCCGACAUGUGCGCCACUCUCGCAAGGGAGUGAUGGAAAGCCGUACCGUGGGUGCGGCGCCCAAGGAUGAGCUCACGUCCUAUCAGCUUGUUGGCGGGGUAACGGCCCACCAAGGCUGCGACGGGUAGCUGGUCUGAGAGGACGACCAGCCACACUGGCACUGCGACACGGGCCAGACUCCUACGGGAGGCAGCAGUGAGGAAUAUUGCGCAAUGGACGACAGUCUGACGCAGCGACGCCGCGUGGGGGAUGAAGGCCUUCGGGUUGUAAACCCCUUUCAGGAGGGAAGAUGGGACGGGUAACCGUUCGGACGGUACCUCCAGAAGCAGCCACGGCUAACUCUGUGCCAGCAGCCGCGGUAAGACAGAGGUGGCAAGCGUUGUUCGGAUUUACUGGGCGUAAAGAGUGCGUAGGUGGUGAGGUAAGAUCUGUGGGAAAGACCUGGGCUUGACCCAGGAAGGUCGCAGAUGACUGCCUCGCUUGAGGACGGGAGAGGAGAGCGGAAUUCCCGGUGUAGCGGUGAAA